GGAAACCACGUAAUGAACCAACAUUACACAGCAAUAAGAGGAAAAAAAAAGUGACCAUGUUAAGACUAUCAGAGGAAACUGGGGUGCCGGCCGAGUAUUUGAGGGCGAUAGUCAUGUGCAGCGAUGACUAUAA
Molecule: long non-coding RNA, 133 nt
Organism: Drosophila miranda
Lineage: Eukaryota; Metazoa; Arthropoda; Insecta; Diptera; Drosophilidae
Exons: 2
Source: RefSeq, a predicted model, not a curated record